RNAcentral lists this long non-coding RNA (850 nucleotides) under Volvox carteri. Its description in RNAcentral is "long non-coding RNA (VCAR_LNC000552)". The record is from RNAcentral. Lineage: Eukaryota; Viridiplantae; Chlorophyta; Chlorophyceae; Chlamydomonadales; Volvocaceae.
GACGUGCUUACCCCCUGCCGUUAAAUUCAGCACCUUAAUGACACAAAAAGCGUUGGGAUAGCCAUGACUGGUCUGAUAGGAGAGUGCACAAUCCGACGUGGUCCAGCCAUCGAGCGGUGCCUGUUCAACGCAUGACUACAAUUCGCAUGUUCUUAAGAACCCAGUACCAAGAUAUACAUGCACACCUCCGUGGCAUGCGUUCCAGGAUGAUCGAUGCAGCGGUCGUGCAUGGAUUGCGGUACGGAGGAUUUCAGCCGUACUCGUUCGUGUUGAUCCUUGUGAUGGCGCGUGGUGCAUACGCGUUGGCGCUAUAAUUGACGACCAAGUAGAGCUGCAUUUCAGAUAUCCACGACUCAUUUGGUUUGGGGCGACUGGACCUUGAUGCAGUUGAAAGGAGCAGCGGACGAAGUGGGGACAUGGCACCAGCGGCUCUGCCUCAAUCAAAGCGACUAUCCAAACCGGCGUUUGAGUUAUAGGCCUUAAUGUUACUGGCACAACUUAUACUAAACAGACAAACCGGAAAAGCCGAUGGGGUAGGGAACAAGAGGCUGGAGAACUUCUUGCAGUUUGGGCUUGCAAACAAGACACAGACCGGCGAGGAGACCUUGUUUGAGCUUACGUUCAAGGAAGAUAAUGUGACUAAGGCUGGCGCGCAUCGAGAUGGAUACAUUUGGCAACAUUUGAUUUUGGGUGCUGACGUGCCCAGAGGGAAGAAGCGAAUAUAUGGACCGAGGUGAAAUAAGAGGGAUGCGAUAGCGUGAAGGUGCAGGAUUGUUCAGGGAUGUAAUAUUAUGACAUAAUGCGAAUAAAUGUGCCCUGCGGUCUUGCGGACAUAAAGUGCGCAGCUGGU